RNAcentral lists this ribosomal RNA (492 nucleotides) under uncultured bacterium. RNAcentral describes it as "partial 16S ribosomal RNA". It matches the Rfam family "Bacterial small subunit ribosomal RNA", at positions 30 to 507 of the family's 1533-position model. The record is from RNAcentral.
AGCGAACGCUGGCGGCAGGCCUAACACAUGCAAGUCGAACGGCAGCACCGUGAUAGCUUGCGGUUACGGGUGGCGAAUGGGGGACGGGUGAGGUAUGCAUCGGAAUCUACUUUUUCGUGUGGGAUAACGAAGGGAGACCUACGCUAGGACCGGAUACGACGUACGGGGGAGAGCAGGGGAACGUCUGGCCUGGUGGGAUUGAAUGAGCCGCUGUCGGGGUAGCUGGUGGGCGGGGUAAAGGCUCAACAAGGUGACGAUCCGUAGCUGGUCGGAGAGGAGGAUCAGGCACACUGGCACGGAGAGAGGGCCCAGACUCCUGCGGGAGGCAGCAGUGGGGAAUAUUGGACAAGGGGGGCAAGCCUGAUCCAGCCAUACCGCGUGGGUGAAGAAGGCCUUCGGGUUGUAAAGCCCUUUUGUUGGGAAAGAAAAGCAGCAGGUUAAUACCCCGCUGUUCUGACGGUACCCAAAGAAUAAGCACCGGCUAACUUCGUG